GGUAAAAUAAAAUGUUACAUUUUCUCCCAUCACCUUUAUUGAGUAGGCUUCAUUAUUUGACGAAGUCAAUUAUUAUGCUUCUAGAAUCUUAACUCCUAAAGUCAUCCAUGUUAUUUGCCAAAAUAUUGUCAUAUUGAGACAAGUAAGGUCAAUUGGAUUGUUAUGGGAGAGUUGCUCGGUAAGUGAUAUGCUAGAGGAAAAUCAACUAUAAAAUGACUUCAUCUUUGUGUAUGAUUAUUUCUUCAAUAGAUGUCUUUUUACCAUUUACAAUGAUAAAUAUUAACUAUUCUCAAUGUUGCACUAAGUCAACUUCACCAUAAUUGUUUAAAACUUUUCAAAUGUUAAGUGAUCAACUCCAUAUUGUUCAAUAAAUUCAUACACUUUUAUGAGUUGAAACGUGGUCGUGAAGUCAAUUGAAUAUGAGAAUAUUUUUAUUCGAGAACCAAAUCUAUAUUAAUGAUAUCGCAUUUCUUGCUUUCAGCUAAAAAAUUAUUGGAUGUAUUCUAUUUCCUCUUCUUAAUUUUUCUAUCAUAAUUCCAACAAUAUGCCUGAGUAGGGGAGAGAAAAAAAAAAGAUAAUGCAUUCAAAUUUGAAAAAGCUGCAUGCCUGUGUUUAUUGGGAGGUAAGAAUAUUUGGUUCGCCAACUCUUUUUAUGCAUGAUUUCUUUUGCAUAUCUCUUUUUCUGUUGUGGAGUGACAUUUAGACUCCAAGUUUCUCCCUUUUGUGAGGCAGGUGGAAAGUAUUUGCCUGUGUGAGAGAUGAUUUCAAUGAUG
This 773-nucleotide long non-coding RNA is filed under the name Phaseolus vulgaris (common bean). RNAcentral describes it as "long non-coding RNA (PVUL_LNC004657)". Lineage: Eukaryota; Viridiplantae; Streptophyta; Magnoliopsida; Fabales; Fabaceae. The record is from RNAcentral.